GGUCUAUGCUGCCAUCGGGUUGGUGAUGUGUCUCAAGCAGCCUGUACGUCGGUCCAGCGCGGCGGCGGGCAGCAUCCGCGGAGGCGUAGCGGCGGAUUGAGUUAAAUGCCUCUUAUCUCCUCCUAAUGGCCUCCGAACAUGUCAAUUCAUCACUCGCGUGUCUUGCACGCUCUCAUUCUUGCUCUAAUCCUGGUUCUGACGAAGUGCGUCAGAUACUAAAAAUUAUUUUAAGAAAAUAAUUGAUCAUCAUUGAGUAUCAUUUAUAGUAGUGCCGUGGUUGAGAAACUUUCAAAUUUUAUUUUAUUUCUAUGUAAUGACUUGUUGCUAUGAAGAAAAAAUAAAGAUGUGUAACAAGUAUA
RNAcentral lists this unclassified non-coding RNA (359 nucleotides) under Melitaea cinxia (Glanville fritillary). RNAcentral describes it as "misc RNA ENSMCXG00005014676.1". The record is from RNAcentral. Lineage: Eukaryota; Metazoa; Arthropoda; Insecta; Lepidoptera; Nymphalidae.